Molecule: ribosomal RNA, 519 nt
Filed under: Neonectria coccinea
Lineage: Eukaryota; Fungi; Ascomycota; Sordariomycetes; Hypocreales; Nectriaceae
Description: LSU rRNA
Rfam family: Eukaryotic large subunit ribosomal RNA
Source: RNAcentral
CUAGUAACGGCGAGUGAAGCGGCAACAGCUCAAAUUUGAAAUCUGGCCCCCGGGUCCGAGUUGUAAUUUGUAGAGGAUGCUUUUGGUGCGGUACCUUCCGAGUUCCCUGGAACGGGACGCCAUAGAGGGUGAGAGCCCCGUCUGGUUGGACGCCAAACCUUUGUAAAGCUCCUUCGACGAGUCGAGUAGUUUGGGAAUGCUGCUCUAAAUGGGAGGUAUAUGUCUUCUAAAGCUAAAUAUUGGCCAGAGACCGAUAGCGCACAAGUAGAGUGAUCGAAAGAUGAAAAGCACUUUGAAAAGAGAGUUAAAAAGUACGUGAAAUUGUUGAAAGGGAAGCGCUCAUGACCAGACUUGGGCCCGGUUGAUCAUCCAGGGUUCUCCCUGGUGCACUCUUCCGGCCCAGGCCAGCAUCAGUUCGCUGUGGGGGAUAAAGGCUUCGGGAAUGUGGCUCCCUCGGGAGUGUUAUAGCCCGUCGUGUAAUACCCUGCGGCGGACUGAGGUUCGCGCAUUCGCAAGGAU